CAGGCGUUAGCCGAAAAGCCUUAACAGAGUAGGUA
This is a non-coding RNA of Cnuella takakiae, 35 nucleotides long. Lineage: Bacteria; Pseudomonadati; Bacteroidota; Chitinophagia; Chitinophagales; Chitinophagaceae. The record is from Rfam.